GAUGAACGCUGGCGGCGUGCCUAAUACAUGCAAGUCGAGCGAACGGACGAGAAGCUUGCUUCUCUGAUGUUAGCGGCGGACGGGAGAGUAACACGUGGAUAACCUACCUAUAAGACUGGGAUAACUUCGGGAAACCGUAGCUAAUACCGGAUAAUAUUUUGAACCGCAUGGUUCAAAAGUGAAAGACGGUCUUGCUGUCACUUAUAGAUGGAUCCGCGCUGCAUUAGCUAGUUGGUAAGGUAACGGCUUACCAAGGCAACGAUGCAUAGCCGACCUGAGAGGGUGAUCGGCCACACUGGAACUGAGACACGGUCCAGACUCCUACGUGAGGCAGCAGUAGGGAAUCUUCCGCAAAGGGCGAAAGCCUGACGGAGCAACGCCGCGUGAGUGAUGAAGGUCUUCGGAUCGUAAAACUCUGUUAUUAGGGAAGAACAUAUGUGUAAGUAACUGUGCACAUCUUGACGGUACCUAAUCAGAAAGCCACGGCUAACUACGUG
RNAcentral lists this ribosomal RNA (497 nucleotides) under uncultured bacterium. RNAcentral describes it as "partial 16S ribosomal RNA". It matches the Rfam family "Bacterial small subunit ribosomal RNA", at positions 28 to 507 of the family's 1533-position model. The record is from RNAcentral.